This is a long non-coding RNA of Nerophis ophidion (straightnose pipefish), 709 nucleotides long. RefSeq lists it as uncharacterized. The record is from RefSeq and is a predicted model, not a curated record. NCBI's taxonomy places the organism in Eukaryota, Metazoa, Chordata, Actinopteri, Syngnathiformes, Syngnathidae. The transcript has 2 exons.
AAUAUUUUCUUCAGUGUCGUGUUUUCUUUUUAUAUCGACGAGUGAGUCAGGCGGAUAUUUAAUUUUUUUAAAUUUAUUUUCGAAACGAGAAAUGAAUCUAGCAAAAUGGCGGUGACGUUUCACUCCGCACGUAAUAAAGUAGUCCCUGUUAUGUACAGUUGUCUUUCCUUUUUAGGAACUACUGUCUUUACAGGCAAAAUCGUACUUAAAGUUAGAAUCUGGUUAGGUCAAAUCACUAUGUUGGACUUUAAACCUGCUGUGACGGUUAUCAUAUGAGAGAAGUGGAGCCGCCCCGCAUAGGACUUUGACGUGCCUGCGUGGCAGCAACAUGGCCGGAGCUGAUUGCGCAACACCAAGCGUUCCACCCAUGGCAAUUACAGCAGUGGUCCCCAACCACCGGUCCAGGGCCCGGUACCGGUCCGUGAGGCAUUUGCUACCGCAGGGGUGUCAAACUCAUUUUAGAUCGGGGGCCACAUGGAGAAGAAUCUACACCCAAGUCGGCCGGAUUGUGAGGGGAGCAGUGAGCAGCAGCGGCGACCACGCCUGGGAAUCAUUUUGGUGAUUUAAACCCCAAUUCCAACCCUUGAUGCUGAGUGCCAAGCAGGGAGGUAAUGAGUCACAUUUUUAUAGUCUUUGGUAUGGCUCGUAUAGAUAGACAAUAUAGACAAAUAGAACAAGCACAUUCUGAAAUUGUACAAAUCAUAAUGGU